This 484-nucleotide ribosomal RNA is filed under the name uncultured bacterium. Its description in RNAcentral is "partial 16S ribosomal RNA". It matches the Rfam family "Bacterial small subunit ribosomal RNA", at positions 30 to 507 of the family's 1533-position model. The record is from RNAcentral.
AUUGAACGCUGGCGGCAGGCCUAACACAUGCAAGUCGAGCGGAUGAAGGGAGCUUGCUCCUGGAUUCAGCGGCGGACGGGUGAGUAAUGCCUAGGAAUCUGCCUGGUAGUGGGGUAUAACGUCCUGAAACGGGCGCUAAUACCGCAUACGUCCUGAUGGAGAAAGUGGGGGAUCUUCGGACCUCACGCUAUCAGAUGAGCCUAGGUCGGAUUAGCUAGUUGGUGGGGUAAAGGCCUACCAAGGCGACGAUCCGUAACUGGUCUGAGAGGAUGAUCAGUCACACUGGAACUGAGCCACGGUCCAGACUCCUACGGGAGGCAGCAGUGGGGAAUAUUGGACAAUGGGCGAAAGCCUGAUCCAGCCAUGCCGCGUGUGUGAAGAAGGUCUUCGGAUUGUAAAGCACUUUAAGUUGGGAGGAAGGGCAGUAAGUUAAUACCUUGCUGUUUUGACGUUACCAACAGAAUAAGCACCGGCUAACUUCGUG